Molecule: long non-coding RNA, 1794 nt
Organism: Anguilla rostrata (American eel)
Lineage: Eukaryota; Metazoa; Chordata; Actinopteri; Anguilliformes; Anguillidae
Exons: 2
Source: RefSeq, a predicted model, not a curated record
CGGUGGCAGUAACGCAGCUGCGUAGGAUCCAUAGCGCAGCAGCAGUAAGAUCAGUGAUGUGAAGCACGUGUUCAACGAUGACGUGAUGACUAUGUGUACGACCACCUGGAGGAAGCCCUUCGUCCAGUCUGAAUUUCUGAAUUAUCACCGCUGCUAUGAAAAACAGACCGUUGCGAAGUUCGAAUCUAACGAAAUAGGCUAUUAUUUUUAAAUCAAUAAAAUCAUCUUUUAAAUCAAUAUUUUGUUUCAAAUUAUUGAUUUAUUUAGUAAGUAGUCGUGUAAUAAGCAGGAUCAUGUACCGCGAGCCUGUCAUAAGUUUAUUUCGCAAUUAUGAUCGGCUCGCUGUAGCCUACAUUAUCCCUUACUAAACUCAAUUUCUAGGUCGGAGAAGUGUCUCUUCUUGGCCGUAUUACGCAUCUCCGUGUCGUAAACUCUAGAGGCGAGGCCUCUAAAUUGAGAAUAUAUAGGGGCGUGGUAUCUGCCGCGACAUUUAUCAAUGCCCGAUUGUUCUUACGCUGUGAUAGGCGAGAUACGGAAGUUUCAUGAAUCACACCUGAACCCUAGCGUAAGAUGAUAUUUGUGGUCGGAUCUGCACGAGUUUCUACGUUCUUUUGAUAAAUGAGGGCCACUAAGUGGUUGCUAUGGGUUACUAAGUGGUUGUUAGGUGGUUUGUGAAGUGUUGCUAGGUGGUUGCUAGGGUGUUGAUAGGGGUACUAGGCGGUUGCUGUGGUGUUGCUAGAUGGUUGCCAGGUGGUAGCUUAGGUGUUUAAUAGGGUGUCAACAUUGGGUUGCUGAGAGUCAAAAAUGAAAAAGACAGUAGUUGUGUCUCAAACCACAUACUUCUAUGCAGUGCCUGAAUUGGACCAAAAAAGGUGCCAGUACCGUAAUUCAGCAGUUGCAUGACAUGAGGUGUAAUGCCGUGGCAAGAGUAUUGUAAUACACAAUAAGAAGUAAGGGUACUCAUGUCGACACAAAUCAGAAGUGCCGGUACUCAGUAUCGGUGAGUACCAGACCAUUUCAGGCACUGCUUCUAUGCUUUAUACUCCCAUGCUCUCGAGGGCACACUCCAGUGCAUGCUUCAGAGUAUGUGCUUUAGAGCCCCCUUCUAAAGGUAAUGUCUCGGUUUACAAGAAUACAUAUUUUUGAUUUGAGUUGUUUUCUUUCAAAUAACUUAAAUAUCUUUACUUAGGUAAAGGAGUGCAGAAGAAAAGGAAGAGCUGGGUCAGACCGGAAGUCUGCGCUGUGGAAAAACACUUGAUGCACUUCAUCCAAACAUAUCGGGUCCCAGGAAAGAAUGCAUGCAAGGCUUGCAUCAAGGCUGAGCCACUAUCUCUUAAGGAUAGAAAUUGGCUAGCUGUUAAAUUCUACAUUAAAAACCGCAUAACGGCAUUACAGAGAAAAGAUUAAAUCCUAAGACACCAAAGUCGGUGUAUUUAUUUUGAACAUUGAACGUUUGAGAAGGUAACAAGUUCAACGUGUUGCGUGCUAUGACAUUGUCUUUAGCAAUUUUGAGUUACAUUUAACAAUUGGUUGGUUUCUAUCCUGAAGAGCUAGUGUUAAGUGUAACAUUGGUUUAAUGUUGGUACAUUAAGUACAUUCAUUUGAGAUCUCCAGAAACAGAGAGGGGGUAUUUGAGAAUGUACGCCUAUUUUGUUUCAGUCCUGUUACAUGCACUGCUCCUUUUCAGAAAUGCUACAUGUACUAGCAUUUACAUGUUCUACAUGUGUAAUGUACCUUUGGGUUACACUUGUUAAUGUUCCUUUUUGGGGGAAAUAAAUAAAUUAUUUCCAGACA